RNAcentral lists this long non-coding RNA (659 nucleotides) under Gossypium raimondii (Peruvian cotton). RNAcentral's name for it is "long non-coding RNA (GRAI_LNC010271)". The record is from RNAcentral. Lineage: Eukaryota; Viridiplantae; Streptophyta; Magnoliopsida; Malvales; Malvaceae.
GGUGAAGAAGCGCCGAGGCUGGGAGUAGGGGCCUCAGUUGAUGGGGACGGUGGGCUGGAGGCCGAAGGUGAUAGCGCUGGAGACUUAGCUUUGGUCUUGCUAGGGGCCGGAGCUGGAACCGUGGCAGGAGGAGAAGCCAAAGGAGCUGGUGGUGGGGUAGCUGGAGGAGGAGUAGCAGGAGGGGGAGAAGCAGGUGGUGGGGUAGCCUGAGGUGGAGAAGCCGGUGGGGGAGUUGCGGGAGGUGGGGUAGCUGGGGGAGGAGUAGCCGGUGGAGGAGAAGCUGGUGGUGGGGAGCUAACGGGCGGGGGAGUCGCUGGAGGAGGAGUGGAAACUGGUGGUGGAGAAGCUGUCACUGGAGGUGGUGAUGAUGUAGGAGGAGGAGUGGAAGCUGGUGGCGGAGAAGUAGUUGUGGGUGUUGGAGGUGGUUGAGUAGUAGGCGGAGGUGUGGAAGCGGGUGGGGUCGGCGGCACCGGCGUGGAUGUCGGAGGAUUACUAGGAGUAGGAGGAGCUUGGCCUAAAGCGCCAGCUACAGCAAUGCAAAACAAAGCUGAUAAGAACAAAAACUUGUUAUUAAGCAUCAUGUUGGAAACAAUGGUGACCCUUUAAUCCUGCACACCCUCUCCGCUUAAACUACGCCCAGCCGCGCAAGCAAAAGAGGG